GCCCAGUAGACGACUGGGUUGAUAGGCCAGAUGUGGAAGCGUUGCAAGACGUGGAGCUGACUGGUACUAAUACACCGAAAACUUCUACACA
Molecule: non-coding RNA, 91 nt
Organism: Kocuria marina
Lineage: Bacteria; Bacillati; Actinomycetota; Actinomycetes; Micrococcales; Micrococcaceae
Source: Rfam